Molecule: long non-coding RNA, 1185 nt
Filed under: Bos indicus x Bos taurus (hybrid cattle)
Lineage: Eukaryota; Metazoa; Chordata; Mammalia; Artiodactyla; Bovidae
Description: lncRNA (ENSBIXG00000008534.1)
Source: RNAcentral
AUAAGUACCACUGUAAAGAAGGUGGGGGCUUCCCUGGUAACUCAGAUGGUAAAAGUGUCUGCCUACAAUGCGGGAGACCUGGGUUCGAUCCCUGGGUCAGGAAGAUCCCGUGGAGAAGGCAAUGGCAACCCACUCCAGUACUCUUGCCUGGAAAAUCCCAUGGAUCAAGGAGCCUGGUAGGCUACAGUCCAUGGGGUUGCAAAGAGUUGGACACAACUGAGCAACUUCACUUGUUUUCAUAAAGAAGGUAGAUGUCAGAGACCACACCAAGAGCCUUCCAGUGUGUUACCUUAUUUAAUCCUCACAGUGUCCAUGAGAGAGAGGUUUAACACCUCCACAUUUAUGGAUCAAGAAAUACCCAGACAAAGAUUUUGAGUAAAAUAACGUAUCUUAAUGGCACAGCAGAGAAAGGAGUGACUUGCUCUGCCUGGGAAGUAGGAAAAUUUUCACAGAAAAAGUGGCAUUUAACAUUAACUGAGGAUUAGAAUGAGACAUCUGGCUGUGACUGAGACAUUCAAUGAAGAAGUGUUCAGCACUGAAAGAUGUUAAGUGGGUUGCCUCCCUCCUUAAAAAAAAAAAAAAAAAAAUUUCUCAGAAAUGCCCAAACAGAAAAUGAGACUGACUAUGUGGGGAGAGGUCUUCAAAUCAAGUAACCCUGACUCAACUGCCCUUGAGAUUUACUGCUACUAGAAUAUUUGUAUUCUUAUCUUUACUACCAGCUAUGGCCAGAGAGUGGACAUGGACCAUUGCACAGGGAAUCAACGUGCAAAACUUUACCGGAUGUUUUUGGAGGAUGAAUAUAAAGCAGGAAGUCGAAGAGUUGAAGAGCAUGCUGGGCAUCUAUCAAAGUUUAUGAUGUGCCCCACAGGAGUCAGUAAGAGCUGGCCCAGGCUGUGUGUGCUCUGCAGUGGCCUUCCCUUUCUGUGAUCAUCCCUGCUGCAGAAGCCAUUACCAGAAUUUAGGAGUGAGAUGGUUUCUGGAGGGAAUUCCUCUGGAUAUGAAGUUAAAAUGUCUGAGUUGACCUGGGACUCUGACCCAGGCAGUGGGAGGAGCUUUCUCCAUCCUUCUGUCUGGAACAGCGGCUCCAACCUAGAGAACACGCUGCUCGUGUGCUCCACACUGACACCUCCAGGCAAGUCAGGCAACAGCAACCCUGCGAUGAAAGCAGCCUCCUCCUUGGCAUGA